CAAAAUAAAUUUUGACUUCGAGCAGCGAUUGCUCUCCCCUCACAAACCUUAAUGAAACCAAACUAGUGACCUUGAAAAGAGCUUGAAGCUAGCUCUUCGAUCCAAAAACCCCCCCAAAAACUUCUCUCCUUUCAUUUCUUAACCUAUCCUCCUCAUUAAUCCUAAUUCUCCCCUCUUUCAAACCCUAACCUCUGAAUUUCUUCAAUCUUCCGUCUUGGAUCCGGAAUUGGCUUCGUCGUCAGAGCUUUCUCCUCCAAUUUUACCUUUAAGAGAUCUUUUUACCAAA
RNAcentral lists this long non-coding RNA (286 nucleotides) under Physcomitrium patens. RNAcentral's name for it is "long non-coding RNA (PPAT_LNC012275)". The record is from RNAcentral. Lineage: Eukaryota; Viridiplantae; Streptophyta; Bryopsida; Funariales; Funariaceae.